AGUGAACGCUGGCGGCAGGCCUAACACAUGCAAGUCGAGCGGCAGCGGGUCCUUCGGGAUGCCGUCGGGCGGCGGACGGGUGAGGAAUACAGCGGAAUCUGCCCUGUCGUGGUGGAUAAGCGAGGGAAACUUAGGCUAAUACCGCAUACGACCUACCGGUGAAAGCGUGGGAUCGCAAGACCUCGCGCGACAGGAUGAGCCGAUGUCCGAUUAGCUAGUUGGCGGGGUAAAGGCCCACCAAGGCGACGAUCGGUAGCUGGUCUGAGAGGAUGAUCAGCCACACUGGAACUGAGACACGGCCCAGACUCCUACGGGAGGCAGCAGUGGGGAAUAUUGGACAAUGGGCGCAAGCCUGAUCCAGCCAUGCCGCGUGGGUGAAGAAGGCCUUCGGGUUGUAAAGCCCUUUUGUCCGGGAAGAAAUCGUCUGGGCUAAUACCCCGGGCGGAUGACGGUACCGGAAGAAUAAGCACCGGCUAACUUCGUG
This 484-nucleotide ribosomal RNA is filed under the name uncultured bacterium. Its description in RNAcentral is "partial 16S ribosomal RNA". It matches the Rfam family "Bacterial small subunit ribosomal RNA", at positions 30 to 507 of the family's 1533-position model. The record is from RNAcentral.